This 906-nucleotide long non-coding RNA is filed under the name Homo sapiens (human). RNAcentral's name for it is "HSALNT0331185". The record is from RNAcentral. Lineage: Eukaryota; Metazoa; Chordata; Mammalia; Primates; Hominidae.
AGGCAUUGGAGCAGGGCAUUUUGAUAGUGGCUGGAGGGCAGGCAGCUCAACCUCUAAACCCCCCUGGUCUGGGCACCAAGUCCUGUCCUGGGCACGGGACACAGUCCUCCAGCGAGACCAAACCCAGCUUCUCUACAGCACCAGGAAGAAGGCAAGCUGGGCCACCAGGGCGCGGCCCCAGGAAGGAAAAUCCUCCAUGGUCCUGUUGACAGAUGUGGUAUCAAAUGAAUUGUUCUCUGCUUAGACACGACUUUGAUAUUUAUUGGUUCAAAUUGCUCGGCUGACUCAGUCUUGCAUUCCAUUUUUCUGGACAUCCCAUCUGAAUGGAGUGGUUGGUCUCUUAUGUCUGGCCUCUUUCACUGAAGAGUCUUGUUUCUGAGGUUCAUCCAUGUGGUUGCUUGUAUCUGUGAUUCAUUCAUUUUUAUUCCUGUAUAGUAUUCUGUUGUAUGGAUAUACCACAUUUUGUCUUUCCAUUAUAUGUGAAUUAAUUUUAUCUACACCCAGAAGUAGUGAAAAUUCGAAGGACCUUUAUUAGGAAUCCAUGUCCACAGGGUCUUCAAAUAUCCAGUUGCUUAUCUAGAAUAAAGAAUGUUGGAGAUCAUUUUUCUUUGGUGAAAUGAGUGUUGCCCAAGAACUGAAGGGGGGCAGAUAGACUGUACAGACACUGAGGUCCUCUCUGUCUGGUGCAUUUCCAGCCACCUGGUUGUACUAUGAGGUCAGUUAAAUUUGCCAUGAGAAUAUGCUGCAUACACUGUGGAGUGAAUCUUUCCAGAAAAAUACUUCUCAUGACAGACAGCUAGGACUUCACUUAUUUUAUAGGCACUCAUAACUGUUUGUGUCUGUUUGUUAUUAAGUGAAAUCCUCCCCCCACCCAUUUGCUAACAUAUGUCGUACAUGUAGCAAAAU